Molecule: ribosomal RNA, 472 nt
Filed under: uncultured bacterium
Lineage: Bacteria
Description: bacterial SSU rRNA
Rfam family: Bacterial small subunit ribosomal RNA
Source: RNAcentral
UGGGGAAUCUUGGACAAUGGGCGCAAGCCUGAUCCAGCCAUGCCGCGUGAGUGACGAAGGUCUUCGGAUUGUAAAGCACUUUAAGUUGGGAGGAAGGGCAGUUACCUAAUACGUAUCUGUUUUGACGUUACCGACAGAAUAAGCACCGGCUAACUCUGUGCCAGCAGCCGCGGUAAUACAGAGGGUGCAAGCGUUAAUCGGAAUUACUGGGCGUAAAGCGCGCGUAGGUGGUUUGUUAAGUUGGAUGUGAAAUCCCCGGGCUCAACCUGGGAACUGCAUUCAAAACUGACAAGCUAGAGUAUGGUAGAGGGUGGUGGAAUUUCCUGUGUAGCGGUGAAAUGCGUAGAUAUAGGAAGGAACACCAGUGGCGAAGGCGACCACCUGGACUGAUACUGACACUGAGGUGCGAAAGCGUGGGGAGCAAACAGGAUUAGAUACCCAAGUAGUCCCUGAGCGGGCUGGCAAGGCGCAU